GACGAACCGUGCGAACGUUAUUCGGAAUCACUGGGCUUAAAGCGCGUGUAGGCGGGACGGCACGUCGGUCGCUGAAAUCCCCCGGCUUAACCGGGGAACGGGCGUCGAUACGACCGUCCUGGAGGGGCGUAGGGGGACCUGGAACUUCCGGUGGAGCGGUGAAAUGCGUUGAGAUCGGAAGGAACACCGGUGGCGAAGGCGGUUCUCUGGGCCUUACCUGACGCUGAGGAGCGAAAGCGUGGGGAGCGAACAGG
This 254-nucleotide ribosomal RNA is filed under the name uncultured bacterium. RNAcentral's name for it is "partial 16S ribosomal RNA". It matches the Rfam family "Bacterial small subunit ribosomal RNA", at positions 524 to 776 of the family's 1533-position model. The record is from RNAcentral.